CUGGGAAGGCGAGCCGGCCCCCGGGACUUCAGAGCCGGAGCCAGGCACUUAGCUUCCUUCUGGGGACCCUGAGGCACGGGAAGAGAAGGGACCUCCUGCUCGCAGUGUCCCCCUUGCGCUGUCCCUGCUAGUGACAGGAAGCUCUUCUCACCCUGUUCGUGGGCCCGGCUGUGUCUCCUCCUCGCCUUCACCUGCCGUUGUGACCUGCAGUGCCCUCCCCAGCUUGAUCCCUACCUGGAACCCCUCGGUGUCCUGUCCCAGGCCACGCUGAAGGACAAUGGAAAGGCUGCACAAAUCUAAACCCACUGUCACCUCUGGGGCUCGUGCAUUCUGCCAACACCCCAUAGGAACCCGGAUCUCAGACGUCCCAGGUACGUCAGCCCCACCAGAAUUCUGUGCUCAUAGGACACGGUGAACGCUGAAUGUGGACAGGGCGGCAAGGACCCGGACACUUGGAU
RNAcentral lists this long non-coding RNA (458 nucleotides) under Homo sapiens (human). Its description in RNAcentral is "HSALNT0350510". The record is from RNAcentral. Lineage: Eukaryota; Metazoa; Chordata; Mammalia; Primates; Hominidae.